RNAcentral lists this small nuclear RNA (22 nucleotides) under Arabidopsis thaliana (thale cress). Its description in RNAcentral is "snRNA_14256". Lineage: Eukaryota; Viridiplantae; Streptophyta; Magnoliopsida; Brassicales; Brassicaceae. The record is from RNAcentral.
UAUCUAUUUACAAUUUACAAAA